GACGAACGCUGGCGGCGUGCUUAACACAUGCAAGUCGAACGAAAAGAGGGAAAGAGCUUGCUCUUUCCGGAAUUGAGUGGCAAACGGGUGAGUAACACGUAAACAACCUGCCUUCAGGAUGGGGACAACAGACGGAAACGACUGCUAAUACCGAAUAAGUUCCAAGGGCCGCAUGGCCCAUGGAAGAAAAGGUGGCCUCUACCUGUAAGCUAUCGCCUGAAGAGGGGUUUGCGUCUGAUUAGCUGGUUGGAGGGGUAACGGCCCACCAAGGCGACGAUCAGUAGCCGGUCUGAGAGGAUGAACGGCCACACUGGAACUGAGACACGGUCCAGACUCCUACGGGAGGCAGCAGUGGGGAAUCUUCCGCAAUGGGCGAAAGCCUGACGGAGCAACGCCGCGUGAGUGAUGACUGCCUUCGGGUUGUAAAACUCUGUGAUCCGGGACGAAAAGGCAGAGUGCGAAGAACAAACUGCAUUGACGGUACCGGAAAAGCAAGCCACGGCUAACUACGUG
This 513-nucleotide ribosomal RNA is filed under the name uncultured bacterium. Its description in RNAcentral is "partial 16S ribosomal RNA". It matches the Rfam family "Bacterial small subunit ribosomal RNA", at positions 28 to 507 of the family's 1533-position model. The record is from RNAcentral.